Molecule: non-coding RNA, 1092 nt
Organism: Cricetulus griseus (Chinese hamster)
Lineage: Eukaryota; Metazoa; Chordata; Mammalia; Rodentia; Cricetidae
Source: RefSeq, a predicted model, not a curated record
GGCUGGCUUAAAGCUCACACGUGGUGGUGGUGGUGGGGCUCAGGCGGCUUUUAGCAGAAAGAUUUAUCAUAACAGACACCCUUAGCAGACCAUGGAAACCCAUGCUCCUUCAUCCCCAGAACGAAAGCUUUUUGUUUAUGACAAUUGGGCUAGAAUAACUGAUCAUCGUACUAACUGAAUUGUUUUAAUGGUGGAGAGUCUUGAGAGUCUCCAUCUGGAGACAAAGAAAGGAUCUACAGUGAAGAGAGUGUCUCCUGGAAUAGAAAGCACACUUAUUCCUUCCCCAAGACAUACAUCUAGGUUGUUGCCAUUUACUGAAUGUUGUGAACAGAGGAACAAUAACACUGAAGAGCAAGUAUCUCUGAAUGCAAAUUCUAAGAUAGCAGUAACCUUGAUGCCUAAAAAUCGGACCCGUCUCAAUAAAUAUAUGUUGACUUAUAUGGGUGAUGCCAUGCUUCAAUCAAAAGCUUGGUCAGGAAUGAGAGACAAGCACAAGGUUAACUCAAGAACUAUCCUCUCAUGCUUUCUAGCAAAUUAAAAAACUCCUGGUGACCAUAAAAGUAUACUCAUGGAAGUUUGUGGGUAAGAUUCUUUUUCAGGAAACCUAUUUGAAAUAUGUAAGUUUAGAGACUGAGUCUGAGAACACCAAUUUGGAAGGAAGUGCUUUUUGAGUUGAAUACAGAUAGGGCUGAAGGGAGGGGUCUAAAGAGAAGGGAAUGAUUGACGAGUAGAAGGAGUGGGACAGAAAGCUAAAUGUGAGCUGGGAAAACUAUGAAGGCCAAUUCCCCAAAGCAACACACUGGAUGGUGUUGACCAAUCAGGCAAGAAACUUCAUUUUGAUCUUCAAAGCACUGUGGAGCCAAAGGAGAGCUUUCAAUAUGUAAAAUCAUUUGCAGCAGGGAUUGAAUUGUAGGCAAUAUUUGGAACUGAUUUUAAAAGCAAGGGAGGAAAGCACGAUUAUCAUCAUAGAAAAUAUGUUUUUAUAUCUGAGGACAACAUUAACCUGUAUUGCAAAGUUAGGUUAUUAUUUCAAUCCUACUUUAUCACUAGAAGUUGAAAAAAUUGCUUCUACAACAAACGUGAAAUGGCUGC